Molecule: ribosomal RNA, 432 nt
Filed under: uncultured bacterium
Lineage: Bacteria
Description: partial 16S ribosomal RNA
Rfam family: Bacterial small subunit ribosomal RNA
Source: RNAcentral
AACGAACGCUGGCGGCAUGCCUAACACAUGCAAGUCGAACGAGACCUUCGGGUCUAGUGGCGCACGGGUGCGUAACGCGUGGGAACCUGCCCUUAGGUUCGGAAUAACUCCCCGAAAGGGGUGCUAAUACCGGAUGAUGUCUUCGGACCAAAGAUUUAUCGCCUUUGGAUGGGCCCGCGUUGGAUUAGCUAGUUGGUAGGGUAAAAGCCUACCAAGGCGACGAUCCAUAGCUGGUCUGAGAGGAUGAUCAGCCACACUGGGACUGAGACACGGCCCAGACUCCUACGGGAGGAAGCAGUGGGGAAUAUUGGACAAUGGGCGAAAGCCUGAUCCAGCAAUGCCGCGUGAGUGAUGAAGGCAUUAGGGUUGUAAAGCUCUUUUACCCGGGAUGAUAAUGACAGUACCGGGAGAAUAAGCUCCGGCUAACUCCGU